Molecule: transfer RNA, 76 nt
Filed under: Actinomycetota bacterium
Lineage: Bacteria; Bacillati; Actinomycetota
Description: Actinobacteria bacterium (freshwater metagenome) tRNA-Lys
Rfam family: tRNA
About the family: Transfer RNA (tRNA) molecules are approximately 80 nucleotides in length. Their secondary structure includes four short double-helical elements and three loops (D, anti-codon, and T loops). Further hydrogen bonds mediate the characteristic L-shaped molecular structure. tRNAs have two regions of fundamental functional importance: the anti-codon, which is responsible for specific mRNA codon recognition, and the 3' end, to which the tRNAs corresponding amino acid is attached (by aminoacyl-tRNA synthetases). tRNAs cope with the degeneracy of the genetic code in two manners: having more than one tRNA (with a specific anti-codon) for a particular amino acid; and 'wobble' base-pairing, i.e. permitting non-standard base-pairing at the 3rd anti-codon position.
Source: RNAcentral
GGGCCUCUAGCUCAAUUGGCAGAGCAGCGGACUUUUAAUCCGUCGGUUGUGGGUUCGAGUCCCACGGGGCCCACCA